Molecule: RNA transcript, 3008 nt
Organism: Carya illinoinensis
Lineage: Eukaryota; Viridiplantae; Streptophyta; Magnoliopsida; Fagales; Juglandaceae
Gene name: ADP-ribosylation factor-like protein 8c
Exons: 4
Source: RefSeq, a predicted model, not a curated record
UUUCAACUUUUAUUUUCUGUUUUUCAUCCUCGUUCUUUCUUGUUCUUGCUUUCUGCUUUUGUUUUAUGUGACUUUAUUGGAAUUCUGUUGCGUUCGACGUUUGGUUUGACAAGAAAGCGCGGGAUAAAUUUAUUGAAGCUUCAUGAUGUUUGGUUGGUACUUCCAUAGAGAACGAAGAACUCGUUGCAAUAGUUGUUACGGAGUUCUCUAAAGAGGAUUUGUGCGUCUAUUUGUGUCUUUGUUAUUUCAAAAUACCGAAAAUUUAAAUCUAAAAACUUGGAUAAUGCAAUGGGAUUUCUAAUUAUUCCUCCCGAAAAGGGACUUGUUAAUUGUGAACUUUCUGGGCCUUCUGGUUGAUCUCUUACAGUUUACUUUCGAAUAUUGUCAUUCAUUCAUGGCAGGUUUUAAGCCCGGCCGGUUUGUAUUUUUCAUCCCAGUCAAAUAACGAAUGAGAAGAAUGGCAUAAUGAAUUGCAUGAUAUAUUUUCUCUCAAUGCUUAGUUGCUGAGAAAAUAUGGGAAAAUAUCGUUAGUAAGCAUUAGCUGUCAUCCAUCAAUUUUUUUCUUUCCCGCUCUGUUCAGGUAGGUAAAUGGCAUGGAAUAUAGGUGUUAUCAAGCUUACAUGGACACCCCCAAGCCCAUGUCAAAGUUUUGCUUUCCUUUCUUUUCUUCUGUUCCCUCUCAACAGGAACGGUAGAAAGAAUUGCAUUGCUGUAUUUACCUCUUGGAACCAAACGGAAAGUUUAGGAAAGACGGACUUUUUAAUAGCCAUUCAACCUGAACUUAUUUUUAAAGCUGAACUUGCGCUUUGUUUUGUUUACUAGCUUUCAUCUUUCAAUAUUCAAAAUCCGGUAUGUUUUUGAGCUUAUUCUAAAACAUAUCAUUCAUGAACAGCUUUAUGAAUUUAUUGUUUUAAUUGAAUAUUGAAUGUCCUCCAUGAUCUUGUGGUGACAUUUUAGAAUUUCAUAUUUAGUGAAGUAUGAAAAAUUUUGUGAAAUAUGAGAGCAUAUGUAAGAUAAACUGAAUUUUUUUUGGGGGGCAAUUUGCAUUAAUUUUGGAAUGGAUGAACUGCUCUGAGCUUGGAGCUGGCUGUUUAUUUCGUUAUACCACUCCAUAUUUUUUGGUAAAAAUGCUGUGAUCUGGCUUAUUCUUUAAACAGGAAAUGGAACUUUCUCUCGUUGGCCUUCAGAAUGCAGGAAAGACAUCUCUUGUUAAUGCCAUUGCUACAGGGGUUUACAGUGAGGACAUGAUUCCAACUGUAGGUUGGAUUCAAUAUGCGAAAAGUUACUAAGGGAAAUGUGACAAUGAAGCUUUGGGACCUUGGAGGGCAGAGGAGGUUUCGUUCAAUGUGGGAGCGUUACUGCCGUGGUGUCUCUGUGAUUCUGUAAUGCCUCUAGUCUUUGAUCUUCUCUCUUUGUUGUACCAAAGUAUCUUCUGCUGGUUUCUAACAAUUCAUUUAUCUGCCACUUGCUUUUAGCGACACAAGCAAAUAUCCGUCAGUGUUCAAGAAUGUUGCUCUGACCCCAAGAAACUAAUUCUGACUCCCAUAUAAGUCCUAAUGUAUAUAUAUUAAAUACUUACUCGCUUUACAGGCGCUACAAAGCAUUGUCUACGGGAUAAAUUUGACUUCUUGAGAUAACUCUCUAAUCAGGUACCAUAAUAAAAUAACAUUAAUUAAGCUACAGUUUUUUUUUCUUGCUGGGCCAUCACAGCCACAGUUUAGUGAGGUUGACUGCAGAACCUUUUUGACUCCUGGUCAUGUAGACUUGAGUUGAAAUUGAAAAUGGACAUCAAAGUUUGUGGAUCUGCAAUAAAGCAUAGAAUAAGAAGGCCGUUGAACUUCAUCUUCGAAUUCGUGAACUUUGUCACUCUGUUUGGAAAAAAAAAAAAAAAAAAAAACACACUUAUCAUUUGAGGGAAAAAAAAUCUGCAUCUGAUGUGCUUUCAUAUGUUCUUCUUCAAUGCAUUUCAGUACAUAGUUGUUUUUCUUUUAGCACCAGGUUGUGGGUGGGAUUGCUAUUCAUACAUGCCUAUUUCAUCUUAUAAGUUGCAUCAAGUGAUGACUAUGCUGCAGGUUUCCUCAUACGGCAUUUGCCAGACUCACAAACAAAAGGAAAAUUGAAACUUCAAAGAUCAAUUCAAUAUUUUAGAAGUGGAGGGGGUAGAUAAGCUGGAAUCUUGCAGAGACUAUUCAAAAUCUAAGUAGUUGCUAGUUAUCUAUUUCAUUAGCUAAAUUAGCACAUGGUUCACAAUACUUUCUUUAUUUACGUGGGCGUGAUAGCCCCAGUUUAGUUCAUUUAGUAAUGGUAAAGGUGUCUUCAAUUUAUGAUGGAUGCAAAAACAGGUAUGUAGUAGAUGCUGCUGAUAGAGACAGUAUUCCCAUAUCUCGAACUGAGCUACAUGACCUCUUGAUGAAACCAUCAAUAAGUGAAAUUCCUUUACUUGUUCUUGGCAACAAAAUUGACAAGUCAGAAGCUCUUUCCAAGCAAGCGUUGGUGGAUCAGCUGUAAGUCCAAGAAAAAUCUUAGUAGCAGUGUAAUUAUAGUGAUAAUAAAUCUUGUUUCUCGUUCUCCUUCCCUAUAUGAUUUUGAAAUCUUAACGCUUUAUUGAGUGGUUUCAGAGGCCUCGAAACUAUUAAAGACAGAGAAGUGUGCUGCUAUAUGAUCUCAUGCAAGGAUUCGAUAAACAUAGAUGUUGUCAUUGAUUGGCUAAUCAAGCACUCAAAAACAGCAAAAUGAUUCAUGGGUCGACUUUCUUUGGUGUUCAGAUGAAGACUGAGGAAAGUCUGACAAGCAAAUGUGGUGAUAGAAACUCUUCCUGGUGGAGUCUUUUCCUCCAUUGCAUUGUAGUUUUGCCCCAAAUAAGUUCUAUGUACAGUACUUUGAUAUCAUUAGAGCCAGUCUUUUGUGCAUUAUCUGUUUUCCCUUAACAGCAGUACUGUUUCUUUCUUAUUGUUUCUGAGUUUUUCCGAGGAUGGAUUAACCCGAUUACCUGAUGUUUGGAUUGUUUA